CAGCUAAAAGAAUUGCCGGCAGUUUGAAGUAUGGUUCGGUUGUUGAUGAAGAAUGCCAGCUUUCAACAAAUAGGUUCACCCGAAAGGGAGGGAAAAAACUAAAGUCUCAAACAUCUGAGGCGGAUAAUUAAGUAUUAACUAAAGUUGACAAAGCUAUUUAAUAUUGAUUGUAUUUGUUUAACCAUAGACUAUUUGUUUUGAAAGAUGUUUUAUAUUUGGGGAUCAGAAGACUUGCUUAUGUGCAAUGAUAUCCAAAAAACAAUGUAUUAUCGUGAAUAUAUUUUGAAUGAGACUUAUAUUAUAUAUGAUUUAUAAUAUUAUGUUAUGGUGUAUGAAAAUAUAUGUCUUAAACAUAAUCCAUGAUGAGUAAUACCUUACAAAAUUGGAACACAGAGAAAUUGAUGUUAGAACUUAUUUUUUACGUGAUGGAUUAUAAGUUAACACAAAUUUGACAUUAUAUUAAAUACAACUAACCUCCUAAAUGGGAGUUUCUAAUUUACAAGGACUAUUUACAUAUUGACGACGACUAUUGAUAUAGUCAAGUAAUCCAAAAUAUCACUUUUCUUUAGAGUUUAUUUCUCAUUUGUGUGAUGCUUGGGAAGCCUAUUCAUAAUAGUUAACGCGAGUUAUAGAAUGGUGUACAAAGGACAAAAAACUAUUAAUUAAACUUCAUUCUUUAACCAUGUAUAAUUAUGGUGCAAAAUGAUUUUCAACCUUGGAGAAGCUAUAUCUAAAGCCAUAUCUAAAAUGUGUUUCUCAAAUUGCAAGGUAAAUAACAUAGAAAAGCAGAUUGGUUUUUGAAUGGGAAUUCAAUUUAUGAAAAAGUAAUAGAAACUAUUAAUUAAACUCCAUUCUUUAGAUAUGGCUUAUUAUUGUGCUGAAAAAAAUUUUAAUAAUAAAAAAUGCUACGUAAAUGAAAUAGAAGAUUAUAUUGGUUUUUAACAUCUUUUUAUGACAAGGUCCAUAAAGGGAUGUCUGACUAAUUAUAGUAGCAAUCCCAAUAAAAACUUUCAACAUCUUUUUAUGACAAGGUCCAUAAAGGGAUGUCUGACUAAUUAUAGUAGCAAUCCCAAUAAAAACUUUCAACAUCUUUUUAUGACAAGGUCCAUAAAGGGAUGUCUUUCAAAUAAGAUAUGAUCCUCAUUCAGUAAGAUAAAGUUGAUGGAUCCUUAUACAGAUUAAGUUAAAAAAUUCUUCUCGACAAUUACAAUGAUGAAAGACCCCAUAUAUGAUUUUAAG
Molecule: long non-coding RNA, 1239 nt
Filed under: Arachis ipaensis
Lineage: Eukaryota; Viridiplantae; Streptophyta; Magnoliopsida; Fabales; Fabaceae
Description: long non-coding RNA (AIPA_LNC001001)
Source: RNAcentral